UCCAUUGAGAAAAGGCGUGGUAAGUUGGCUGUGAUUCGUUGUUGAGCAAGGAAUCGCAUGACAACGAAAAGAGUAAAAACAAUCUAUCCAUGCAAGCAUUCACCGUCGGUUAUCCGGCGGUUUUUUUUAUUGGCGACAGAUAAAAAAGUGGCCCCUUGUGCUGUAAUGCGACAAGGGGCCUUCGCGGUGCAGGAUUAUCUCCGUUCAUUAGUCA
This 214-nucleotide small RNA is filed under the name Citrobacter sedlakii. Its description in RNAcentral is "STnc560 Hfq binding RNA". It matches the Rfam family "STnc560 Hfq binding RNA". The record is from RNAcentral. Lineage: Bacteria; Pseudomonadati; Pseudomonadota; Gammaproteobacteria; Enterobacterales; Enterobacteriaceae.